This 814-nucleotide ribosomal RNA is filed under the name uncultured organism. Its description in RNAcentral is "bacterial SSU rRNA". It matches the Rfam family "Bacterial small subunit ribosomal RNA", at positions 23 to 862 of the family's 1533-position model. The record is from RNAcentral.
CUCAGGAUGAACGCUAGCGGCGCGCUUAAUGCAUGCAAGUCGAGCGAUGAGACUCCUACGGGAGCACAUCAGCGGCAGACGGGUGAGUAACACGUAGAUGACGUACCCUCAAGACGGGGAUAACGGAUGGAAACAUGCGCUAAUACCGGAUGACCUUACGAUGUCAGAAUGGUAAGGAAAGCUACGGCGCUUGAGGAGCGGUCUGCGGCCCAUCAGCUAGUUGGUAGGGUAAAGGCCUACCAAGGCGAAGACGGGUAGGGGGUGUGAGAGCACGGCCCCCCACGAUGGGACUGAGACACGGCCCAUACUCCUACGGGAGGCAGCAGCAGGGAAUAUUGCACAAUGGACGGAAGUCUGAUGCAGCGACGCCGCGUGAGUGAAGAAGGCCUUCGGGUUGUAAAACUCUUUUGAGGGGGAAGAGCGAGGACGGUACCCCUGGAAUAAGCGUCGGCUAACUACGUGCCAGCAGCCGCGGUAAGACGUAGGACGCGAGCGUUAUCCGGAUUUACUGGGCGUAAAGCGUCUGUAGGCGGAUGUGUAAGUUGGGCGUGAAAGCUCCGGGCUUAACCCGGAGAGGCCGUUCAAUACUGCAUAACUUGAGGGUGUCAGAGGGGAGCGGAAUUCCCGGUGUAGCGGUCAAAUGCGCAGAGAUCGGGAGGAACACCAGUGGCGGAGGCGGUUCCCUGGGGCACACCUGACGCUGAGAGACGAAAGCUAGGGGAGCGAACAGGAUUAGAGACCCUGGUAGUCCUAGCCCUAAACGAUGAAUGCUAGGUGUGGGAUCGAAUGGUUCCGUGCCGGAGCGAACGCGAUA